AACUCUAGACACAAAUUAAAAUAAUACAAGCUUCAUAUUACAAGCCAGGGGCCUCGAGGGCUCGAAUACAAGCUCGAUACACAAGAGUCAGCAGAAGCAACAAUAUCUGAGUACAGACAUAAGUUAGACAAGGAUGCCUUAAGAAGGCUAGCACAAAAGCAACACGAUCGAAGAGGCAAGGCCUCCUGCCUGGGACCUCCUAACUACUCCUGGUCGUCGGCGGUCUCCACGUAGUAGCAUCCGUCGGCAGUGGCAUCUGACUCCAGGGAUCCACCAUCUGGUUGCAUCAACCGGAAAGAAGAAGGAAGGGGGAAAAGGGGGUAGCAAAGCAACCGUGAGUACUCAUCCAAAGUACUCGCAAGCAUCAGAUCUAAACUAAGUAUGCAUUGGUAUCAAAGGAAGGGUUGUAUAUGUGGACUGAACUGCAGAAUGCCAGAAUAGAGGGGAAGAUCUAGCCUAUCGAAGACUAGCAUCUUCAAGCAGCUCCAAGCAUCUUGCAACAUGUAGAAGAGUAAAGAAUAGCAGUUUAUAUUUAACAAACAUGUUGUAACAUUAAUGCCCAUAGAUCCUUCCUCAACUCCCUGCGAGAAAGCAAUCCCGGAGCCACAUAUCCAUCACAUAUCAAGUAUCCAUUUCUAGUUGUAUAAGAUCAGGAUACAAGUCUGAAUGUCCAUUACCGUGGACACGGUAUUCGAAUAUAUAUCUUCCCUGCAGGGGUGCACCACGUUUUCCCACACGCUCGAUCUCUCUGGCCGGACACACCUUUUUGGGGUCAAUGCCCGGCCUCAGAAUAUCAACACGUCACAAACCUACCUAGGCUCAGCAGAGAGGUCCCCGCCGGUCUACAUCCUAAGCACUCCGGGGUCUGGGCCCAUCGCCCGGUGCACUCCGGGUCGUUGCGAGCAGGGCGAUACAGGCCACCUCCACUGGGGCGCCGACCAGGCCGUGCCGCAAUGCUGAACUGGACGUCUGACAAAGCUUCGGCUGAUACCACGACGUCGAGGCCCAUAACUAUUCUCGCGUGGUGGUUAGUGCGUAAAGUCCCGAGGCCAACUCAGAACAAAUACUCAAACCUAUUAGUGCAUUAACAAUUAAAGUAGUGACGGCUGUCGGGACAAGUCCGGAGCUAUCACCCCUCCUGGGUGAUACCGCUAAAUAGCCAGCCGCCACCGUCACAUCGCACGGGUGCUCUCCGGGCCCGCCCGGCUUUCACAACGGUCUCAAGUAAAGUCAAGGUAACUGUGUGUCCAGACAUCAAGGGGAAAACCCGAGGAAUCACCCCCGGUGGAUUCCACUCAAUGUAAUCAUCAAGGUGAACGUAAGAGGGACCACCCUCGAGGUUCACACUUGAGGUGUUGCACGACAGAGCCGUAUCGGGAAUGGUGAAAUAGGAAAUCACCCUCGAUGACCACGACCGAAUAGCUACACUACAGAAUUAUCAUCAGGAGUGCGUUAUGAGGGAUCACCCUCGGCACUCGAUAGUAGCUCUGCAGAGUCGAGCAACAAAAGGGGCGUGAUGUGAUGUGAGGUGUCGGGCUCUGGUCGUCGAUCAUGUUGGUCGAGUCAUCGAUGAUGAAGCAGGGGCAACAAGGACAAGGUGGGGGUCACUGAUGGAUCACUAACCAACCUAUACUAAGCAGUUUAGGAUAAGCAGGUAGAUAACAAUAAGCAGGUUACAAAAGUAGGCUAUGCAUCAGAAUAGGAGCAAUCAAAUACAGUAGCAAAAUCUAAUGCAAGCAUGAGAGAAUGGAAUGGGCGNNNNNNNNNNNNNNNNNNNNNNNNNNNNNNNNNNNNNNNNNNNNNNNNNNNNNNNNNNNNNNNNNNNNNNNNNNNNNNNNNNNNNNNNNNNNNNNNNNNNNNNNNNNNNNNNNNNNNNNNNNNNNNNNNNNNNNNNNNNNNNNNNNNNNNNNNNNNNNNNNNNNNNNNNNNNNNNNNNNNNNNNNNNNNNNNNNNNNNNNNNNNNNNNNNNNNNNNNNNNNNNNNNNNNNNNNNNNNNNNNNNNNNNNNNNNNNNNNNNNNNNNNNNNNNNNNNNNNNNNNNNNNNGAGGGGUCGUCGUCGACGUAGUCGAUCACGUGGGCAUCAACAGCGGUCUCGGGGUCUACCAGAGAGAAGAGGGGGAAGAAACAGUAAAUACAUAGCAAGCAAGAGCAUAACAGGACAACAGGCAGAGCUAGACGUGUUCUAACACGGUGCUACACGAUACCGACGAAGGGGGGAAACAUCCGGGAAUGUUUCCCGAAGUUUGCAUUUUCGGACAGGCGAAACGGAGGAGGACGGUUGCAGGUUUGCUAUGCUAGAGACGUGUGGCAGACGAACGGGCUGCAUAUUCAGAUUCGUCUCGCCGUUCUGAGCAUCUUUCAUGUAUAAAACUUUUUCAUCCGAGUUACGGAUCAAUUUCUAUGGAUUUCUAAAGUUUUAGCAAUUUCUAGAUUUUUAAAUUACUUUUAAUUUGAGUUGACCAAGUCAAUUUGACUAGUCAAAAAGGAGAGCUGUGACCCACAUGUCAUGGACUAUUUACCUAAAAAAUAAGUAAACCUAACUUAUUUAAUGGGGGCCUACAUGUCAUCUACUAGUACUAGACUAACUUAGCACCAGUUUAUACUACUAGCUAAACCUAGUACUAAGAAGGGCCGGCCACACACGGCCGUGGCCAAGCCGGCCACACACACACCACACACCCACCACGUAGCUAGGGGUUAAUUCUGUUCUCAGUUAACAGAACAUAGCAUUUUGCGAUUUUCAUAGGAUUUAAUCCAGGCAUCGAAAGGAUUUGGUUCAGUGGGAUAAAAUGAAGUUUGUCAUGUAUACUUUCUACUUAUAUUAUCUUUGCUCAUGUUCGUAGUUGGCAGCCACCGUUUAAGGACUGCUUAGAGGGUUAGUCAUUAUAAAAAUAGAAAAGCUAGCUAGUAGCUACAGUAGCUACAAGUUCAGUAAGCAGUGGCAGUUGUAGGAUGCAGCAGCAGCGCUGUGCUAACAAGUAGCUGCAGGCGACGACAGCAGCAGGAGGCGGGCGUGGACGGCAGGGGAGGGAUCAGCGGGCAGCGGCGCCCGAGGCCACGAGCAGGCGAGCACGGCUAGGGGGAUUGCGGGCGCAGCGGGGCGGGGCGUGGUCCAGGGGCACGAGGCCGCAGCAGGGAACGCGGCUAGCGCGGCGGGAGCGAGGCUAGAGGCAGACACAGCCGGCACGGUGGGGGGUCGGCCGGGCGUGGCCAAGGCGCGUGGGCGCGCAGCCAGGAAGCGGCCUGGAGCACGAGGCAGGGAGGCACCUGGGGCAAGGCCAUGGCUCGGUGAGCGCGAGUUCGGUCGAAGCUCGCGUGGCGCGGGGUUGGGAAACGACACAUCAAACAGAGGGAAGACAAAGGGAAUCGACGCGGGCUCACCCUGGGGAGGCCAUGGACGAGCUUGCCGAGGUUGGGGAGUUUCCGUCGAGGAGAUCCGGCGAGGCAGGGCGACGGCCGGUGGUUGGGGAUGGGGUCGAUGCUGGCGAUGCAGACGACCCCAGGUUCAUCCAUUGGUCGAGGAGGACGAAGCAGACGGCGGCGCACCUUGUAGACGAAGCCUCGACGCUCGGGGGUGCCGGUGGCCGCGUGAUCGAGCGACGCACGUCGUCGGCAGCGUCGGGUGAGGGAGAAGGGGAUCUGGAGGAGUGGGAGAGGCGGAGAGAGCGAGGAGGGGGCAAGUGGGGAGCGGUGAGCGGAGGGGAGGGCUCGACGCGUCGAGGGGACGGCGCCCUUAUCCCCUCCGGGCGGCGCCGGCGAGCUGGUCGGAUGGGGACGUGCCCCUGUAGCGGUCGCGCCAGGAGAACAGUAGGAGAAGGCGAUCGAUGGGGUAGGUGGGCUGGCUGUUUAGCUAGAUGGGCCAAGUGGCCCGGGGAAAGGGUUUCUCUUUUCUCUUGCUUUGUUUUUUUCAGUUUAUUGUUUUCUAUUUAGUUUCUUUCUAUUUUUAGUUUUAUGAAAUAAAACACUAGCCACUAAAUCAACAUUAGUAAUUUAUGCCACUGCCACAAAUAGUUUGAGGAUUAAAUAAAAUAGUUUAGUAUUUUUAUGAUUUAAAAAGCAUUUAAUAAUUCAUUUUAGCCAUUGUUAUAUUCACAAAAGGGCAUUUAAAUUUCUUACAAAAGUGUUGGGCCACCAUCAUAAUUAGUUAUGGAAUAUUUGCCACACUUUGAACAUUUUGUUCUGCAUGUUUGAGAAAUUUGAAUUCUGAGCUUUAAUUUGAAUUUGAGUUUGAACUAAGAUUAGGAUCAAGCAAGGAUUAGUAACAGUAAUGUGAUGACAUGGCACCGUUAGCGGGGCAUUACUGUAGCUUAAUUACCCGGGCGUCACAAUUCUCCUCCACUACAAGAAAUCUCGUCCCGAGAUUUAGAAGGUAGAAGGAAACAGAGCGGUGUAUUCAUCACGAAGACAAUACUCGCAUUCCCAAGUGGCUUCAUCUUCAGAAGGAUUUGACCACUAAACUUUUUAGAAUUUUGAAAGCCCUCAUACGGGUACGACGUUGAGCUUGAUCGAGAACACGGAUCGGAUGCUCUCUGUAAGUGAGAUCAUCUUGCAGGGGUUGAGCUUUAUAAGCCAUGUGGUUGUUGCAAUAAGACUUGCUACGCAUGGCAUCGGCCAUGACAAUAGCCUUGCCAGGGGUAUAAGAAAUACCAUAGUCAUAGUCCGAAAUUGUUUUCUAUACAUUGCUGUUGACGGAGAUCCAGAUAUAGCUGAGUAAACAGAUACGUCAGACUUCAAUGAUCGGUGAAGAUCUCGCAACGAGUACCAAAAGGAAAUGUCGCCAUAACUUCAAUGCAAACAUUGGUGAAGGAGCGUUAUCAAUUCUGACAAGAGGAGAAGCGUUUAUCGCACUCAAGGAAUGAAUCCGUGCUUCGGCAUUUCGAACAAGAAGAGCCUGGUAGCUUACUAUCUCAUUUGAAGGAUUUAGUAGAUGGACGGUUUUAGUGGCGCAAAUGAUAGAAGCGUUGUGUGUUUACCAGCAUUCAAUUUCAACGGGGAUGUUGUUACUAACCAUGGUGGUCCGACAUUGGCCGCGGAAUGCAGCUUGGAAUUUCGGCCAAGUGAUGGUGGUUCUAACAGGUAAGGAAUGCAUGUGGCUAUUCCACCAUCGAGUAGCGAAACUUUUCAGGUAAUAAGCUGCAAAGGUGACAUAGUUGGCAGGGGCUACAUCAGCAGACUCCAACUCGAAAGUGAUGUCAUGGAGCCAGUCAUUAGCAUCAAGGGGCUAAGUUGACUUGCGGUAGAUGACAGGGUUGAGACGUGAAAAGUCAUGCAGUGUCACUGGGACUGGUUGUUGAUUCAUAUUGGGGCGUGGAAACUAAGCCACGACUCCUUCCAUGAACCGGCGAUUCAGCAUCAAAACUGCUUAUCAUUCCGGAAAUGUAUUCGGGAGGUGGCGGUAUCACCACCACGAUCACGACUAUCGGGUCUAACCAUCCUACUUAAAUGCAACAUGGGGUAGUUGAGCAAGGGGUGGAGCAAGUGCAUAGAGUCAUUCAUGACGUAUCUUGAACAGUGAGCAAAGGAGCAGUAUGUACAAAGUAGUAGUCAUUAAAGACAUACCGAUACAUAUGCGGGGCAACACGCUGUUCGUAUGAGCUCGGACAAGAGAAACAUCAUAGACAUACUAGGCGGCACACAUGCUCGCGAUGGAGGGACACAACAGCGGGACAUAGCAAAGGCUACAUCAACGUCGAGGGAAAACCUCUGGAGUGAGGGAUUAGCAAGUGACGACGCAGGGUGCCCUCGAUAAGAGGAUCAUGCGGUCAGUGAAUAUUGUGAAGCCAAUCUUGGCCCAAAAUUCGAGAAAGGGGUAACACAAACCUCCGGAUGGAUGUGAUCACGAGAUCCUAAUGUUAGAGUUAGCAAAAUCAUUUAACCCGAAUAGAAAAGAGAUUAGAGUCCCAGAGUAUAGACGAGGAGUAAAAGAUCCUAAUACCACCCAUUGGCGACGUGGGCCCGUAAGCCACACAGCCAUGUUAGUAAAUCAGUUUUUCAAAGACUAGACUCAACUUCGGCCAAGGAGUUGGAAAGGGGGUUCCUACAGGCAGUCGGCUCUGAUACCAACUUGUGACACCCCCGACUCGACCGUACGCUAAUCAUACACGCAAAUGUGUACGAUAAGAUCAGGGACUCACGGGAAGAUAUCACAACACAACUCUAGACACAAAUUAAAAUAAUACAAGCUUCAUAUUACAAGCCAGGGGCCUCGAGGGCUCGAAUACAAGCUCGAUACACAAGAGUCAGCGGAAGCAACAAUAUCUGAGUACAGACAUAAGUUAGACAAGGAUGCCUUAAGAAGGCUAGCACAAAAGCAACACGAUCGAAGAGGCAAGGCCUCCUGCCUGGGACCUCCUAACUACUCCUGGUCGUCGGCGGUCUCCACGUAGUAGCAUCCGUCGGCAGUGGCAUCUGACUCCAGGGAUCCACCAUCUGGUUGCAUCAACCGGAAAGAAGAAGGAAGGGGGAAAAGGGGGUAGCAAAGCAACCGUGAGUACUCAUCCAAAGUACUUGGAAGCAUCAGAUCUAAACUAAGUAUGCAUUGGUAUCAAAGGAAGGGUUGUAUAUGUGGACUGAACUGCAGAAUGCCAGAAUAGAGGGGAAGGCCUAGCCUAUCGAAGACUAGCAUCUUCAAGCAGCUCCAAGCAUCUUGCAACAUGUAGAAGAGUAAAGAAUAGCAGUUUAUAUUUAACAAACAUGUUGUAACAUUAAUGCCCAGAGAUCCUUCCUCAACUCCCUGCGAGAAAGCAAUCCCGGAGCCACAUAUCCAUCACAUAUCAAGUAUCCAUUUCUAGUUGUAUAAGAUCAGGAUACAAGUCUGAAUGUCCAUUACCGUGGACACGGUAUUCGAAUAUAUAUCUUCCCUGCAGGGGUGCACCACGUUUUCCCACACGCUCGAUCUCUCUGGCCGGACACACCUUUUUGGGGUCAAUGCCCAGCCUCGGAAUAUCAACACGUCGCAACCCUACCUAGGCUCAGCAGAGAGGUCCCCGCCGGUCUACAUCCUAAGCACUCCGGGGUCUGGGCCCAUCGCCCGGUGCACUCCGGGUCGUUGCGAGCAGGGCGAUACAGGCCACCUCCACUGGGGCGCCGACCAGGCCGUGCCGCAAUGCUGAACUGGACGUCUGACAAAGCUUCGGCUGAUACCACGACGUCGAGGCCCAUAACUAUUCUCGCGUGGUGGUUAGUGCGUAAAGGCCCGAGGCCAACUGAGAACAAAUACUCAAACCUGUUAGUGCAUUAACAAUUAAAGUAGUGACGGCUAUCGGGACAAGUCCGGAGCUAUCACCCCUCCUGGGUGAUACCGCUAAACAGCCAGCCGCCACUGUCACAUCGCACGGGUGCUCUCCGGGCCCGCUCGGCUUUCACAACGGUCUCAAGUAAAGUCAAGGUAACUGUGUGUCCAGACAUCAAGGGGAAAACCCGAGGAAUCACCCCCGGUGGAGUCCACUCAAUGUAAUCAUCAAGGUGAACGUAAGAGGGACCACCCUCGAGGUUCACACUUGAGGUGUUGCACGACAGAGCCGUAUCGGGAAUGUUGAAAGAGGAAAUCACCCUCGAUGACCACGACCGAAUAGCUACACUAUAGAAUUAUCAUCAGGAGUGCGUUAUGAGGGAUCACCCUCGGCACUCGAUAGUAGCUCUGCAUAGUCGAGCAACAAAAGGGGCGUGAUGUGAUGUGAGGUGUCGGGCUCUAGUCGUCGAUCACGUUGGUCGAGUCGUGGAUGAUGAAGCAGGGGCAACAAGGACAAGGUGGGGGUCAUUGAUGGAUCACUAACCAACCUAUACUAAGCAGUUUAGGAUAAGCAGGUAGAUAACAAUAAGCAGGUUACAAAAGCAGGCUAUGCAUCAGAAUAGGAGCAAUCAAAUACAGUAGCAAAAUCUAAUGCAAGCAUGAGAGAAUGGAAUGGGUGAUAUCGGGAUGAUCAAAGGGGGGGCUUGCCUGGGUGCUUAGACAAGAAGGAGGGGUCGUAGUCGACGUAGUCGAUCACAUGGGCAUCAACAACGGUCUCGGGGUCUACCGGAGAGAAGAGGGGGAAGGAACAGUAAAUACAUAGCAAGCAAGAGCAUAACAAGACAACAGGCAGAGCUAGACGUGUUCUAACGCGGUGCUACACGAUACCGGCGAAGGGGGAAACAUCCGGGAAUGUUUCCCGAAGUUUGCAUUUUCGGACUGGCAAAACGGAGGGGGACGGUUGCAGGUUCGCUAUGCUAGAGACGUGUGGCAGACAAACGGGCUGCAUAUUCAGAUUCGUCUCGCCGUUCUGAGCAUCUUUCAUGUAUAAAACUUUUUCAUCCGAGUUACGGAUCAAUUUCUAUGGAUUUCUAAAGUUUUAGCAAUAUUCUAGAUUUUUAAAUUACUUUUAAUUUGAGUUGACCAAGUCAAUUUGACUAGUCAAAAAGGAGAGCUAUGACCCACAUGUCAUGGACUAUUUACCUAAAAAAUAAGUAAACCUAACUUAUUUAAUGGGGGCCUACAUGUCAUCUACUAGUACUAGACUAACUUAGCACCAGUUUAUACUACUAGCUAAACCUAGUACUAAGAAGGGCCGGCCACACACGGCCGUGGCCAAGCCGGUCACACACACCACACACCCACCAUGUAGCUAGGGGUUAAUUCUGUUCUCAGUUAACAGAACAUAGCAUUUUGCGAUUUUCAUGGGAUUUAAUCCAGGCAUCGAAAGGAUUUGGUUGAGUGGGAUAAAAUGAAGUUUGUCAUGUAUACUUUCUACUCAUAUUAUCUUUGCUCAUGUUAGUAGUUGGUUAGCCACCGUUUAAGGACUGCUUAGAGGGUUAGUCAUUGUAAAAAUAGAAAAGCUAGCUAGUAGCUACAAUAGCUACAAGUUCAGUAAGCAGUGGCAGUAGUAGGAUGCAGCAGCAGCGCUGUGCUAACAAGUAGCAGCAGGCGACGGCAGCAACAGGAGGCGGGCGUGGACGACAGGGGAGGGAGCAGCGGGCAGCGGCGCCCGAGGCCACGAGCAGGCGAGGACGGCUAGGGGGAUCGCGGGCGCAGUGGGGCGGGGCGUGGUCUAGGGGCACGAGGCCGCAGCAGGGAACGCGGCUAGCGCAGCGGGAGCGAGGCCAGAGGCAGACACGGCCGGCACGGUGGGGGGUCGGCCGGGCGUGGCCAAGGCGCGUGGGCACGCAGCCAGGAAGCGGCCUAGGGCACGAGGCGGGGAGGCACCUGGGGCAAGGCCAUGGCUCGGUGAGCGCGAGUUCGGUCGGAGCUCGCGUGGCGCGGGGCUGGGAAACGACACAUCAAACAGAGGGAAAGACAAAGGGAAUCGACGCGGGCUCACCCUGGGGAGGCCGUGGACGAGCUUGCCGAGGUCGGGGAGUUUCCGUCGAGGAGAUCCGGCGAGGCAGGGCGACGGCCGGUGGUUGGGGAUGGGGUCGAUGCUGGCGAUGCAGACGACCCCAGGUUCAUCCAUUGGUCGAGGAGGACGAAGCAUACGGCGGCGCACCUCGUAGACGAAGCCUCGACGCUCGGGGGUGCCGGUGGCCGCGUGAUCGAGCGACGCACGUCGCCGGCAACGUCGGGUGAGGGAGAAGGGGAUCUGGAGGAGUGGGAGAGGCGGAGAGAGCGAGGAGGGGGCAAGUGGGGAGCGGUGAG
Molecule: long non-coding RNA, 9610 nt
Filed under: Triticum aestivum (bread wheat)
Lineage: Eukaryota; Viridiplantae; Streptophyta; Magnoliopsida; Poales; Poaceae
Description: long non-coding RNA (TAES_LNC019476)
Source: RNAcentral